AGGCAGCAGUGAGGAAUAUUCUGCAAUGGGCGAAAGCCUGACAGAGCAACACCGCGUGAGGGAUGAAGGCUUGCGAGUUGUAAACCUCUUUUCUCAAGGAGGAAGAUCUGACGUUACUUGAGGAAUAAGCAUCGGCUAACCCUGUGCCAGCAGCCGCGG
RNAcentral lists this ribosomal RNA (159 nucleotides) under Oscillatoria sp. INT-06. Its description in RNAcentral is "partial 16S rRNA". It matches the Rfam family "Bacterial small subunit ribosomal RNA", at positions 346 to 520 of the family's 1533-position model. The record is from RNAcentral. Lineage: Bacteria; Bacillati; Cyanobacteriota; Cyanophyceae; Oscillatoriales; Oscillatoriaceae.